This 247-nucleotide ribosomal RNA is filed under the name uncultured bacterium. Its description in RNAcentral is "partial 16S ribosomal RNA". It matches the Rfam family "Bacterial small subunit ribosomal RNA", at positions 523 to 769 of the family's 1533-position model. The record is from RNAcentral.
AUACGUAGGGGGCAAGCGUUAUCCGGAUUUACUGGGUGUAAAGGGAGCGUAGACGGCACUGCAAGUCUGGAGUGAAAGCCCGGGGCUCAACCCCGGGACUGCUUUGGAAACUGUGGUGCUAGAGUGCAGGAGAGGUAAGUGGAAUUCCUAGUGUAGCGGUGAAAUGCGUAGAUAUUAGGAGGAACACCAGUGGCGAAGGCGACUUACUGGACUGUAACUGACGCUGAAGCACGAAAGCGUGGGGAGC